Capsicum annuum is the source of this 288-nucleotide long non-coding RNA. RefSeq lists it as uncharacterized. The record is from RefSeq and is a predicted model, not a curated record. NCBI's taxonomy places the organism in Eukaryota, Viridiplantae, Streptophyta, Magnoliopsida, Solanales, Solanaceae. The transcript has 3 exons.
UUAAGUAUGUACUAGGCAAAAAGUUUAAGAACCAAACCCUACUAGAAUCUUGAAGCCUCCCAUUUGCAGCCAUAAAAAGGAGCAAGACAAAAUGAGGCAACCCUAGUGGCCACACUCAAUUUUUGAUGCAAAAUUCAAGGUUUUGAGAAUGGAGGCACAAUCUCUGUUGGGGCAACAUUUGAGUUGACGUUUGUUAUGGAAAUUGGGUCCAAGACACAAGCUCCAGCCCAGAUGUAGCGGUAGAAUUCCAUUCACGGAGACACAGUGAGUCCUCAAUGAUUCGAGGAC